RNAcentral lists this transfer RNA (74 nucleotides) under Nicotiana sylvestris (wood tobacco). It matches the Rfam family "tRNA". From Rfam's summary of the family: Transfer RNA (tRNA) molecules are approximately 80 nucleotides in length. Lineage: Eukaryota; Viridiplantae; Streptophyta; Magnoliopsida; Solanales; Solanaceae. The record is from Rfam by way of RNAcentral.
GGUGGAAUAGCUCAGUUGGUUAGAGCGUGUGGCUGUUAACCACAAGGUCGGAGGUUCAAACCCUUCUUCUAGCG